UGCAGCCAAACACAAGCCACCCAGCACCACCGCCGCCUGACGCAGGAAGCCGCCGCCUCUCCCUAGGGCAGGACGCCGCCCCCAUCCGGCGCAGGGCGUCGCCGCCACCCGGCGCUCAAGUCGCCUCCGCCGCCCAACGCUCUAGCCGCCUCCUCUGCCACCGACGCCCUCCACCCCAUCUAUUCCGUGACUCCGUCGCCCACGCUCCUGAUUGCCCGCCGCAAGCCGCCACUACGUGCUCCCAGAUACCACCAGCCGGCGCAGACUGUCGUCCCCACAGCUUCGUGCCUCCAUCCGCCGCCAACCGCCCCACGUCCACCGCCGUCGCGUCGACGCUCCCCGUCGGCGCAAGCUCCUGCCCCCACACCAACGCCAUCUGCCGGCUGCACACUACGCUCCCGCCCAUUGCCGGUCACGCCCACACCGUCAGAUGAUGCCUGCUCCUGCCCCACGUUGUUUCUACCCCGUUGCUGGGCCCUCCCACGCCGACGACCACUGCCUUCUCCCGGAACAAAGCAGGCGGCCGCUGCGCCCAUGGCGUUUCUGUCCUACCGCCGACGGAUGCCACCAGCUGCUGCCCCCACGCAUAUCUGAAUCUAAAUUUUUUGUGUAUGUGUGUUGCAUCGUAUUUCAGGCGACACCUCCCUUAUUGAUUGCGCAUUCGACGAAUGUAACGUCCACUUCAAGGUAAGAACACAUCGAGCAAGCUAUUCAAGGCAGAUAAAAAAGAUUGUAGAUUCUUAAACAAUUAGCUUUUUGUUUUUAUCUUAGACUGAAACUGAAAACCGUGUCUAAAAAUAUGCGGUACUCCAAGGAGAACCGAGACUACCAUAAUCCAAAGUUCAAUACCAAGAUUGGGGCUUACUCUGAGGGCUGUGGCCUUGAAAAUGUGCUCAUGUUCUAGGGCCAUGACGAUUACAUCUACCUGAUAUGUCCGGUUCAUCAUCGUCGUACCGUCCCUUUGUUACAUGGAGCAAAUCUUCAUUUUCUGUACUGAGUUUGCAGUUUGUUUCUGAAUUAUUAAGGUGUUUCUUGUCCAACUAUUUACUGAUAUCUUAUUGUGUUAUGUACCUGACAUGAUGGUCAUCUUUUAGUUCAUUGUCUGACCAUGCCAAGCAAUGUAUUCCAGCGGCACUUUGUUGUCUGACCAUGCCAACGGAUGACUUGAACUUUCCAAAUAGAUGAAUUGUGUGUUCAUCGUCAAUGGCAUGCUUUGAGAUGCAGUUGUUGUGGUUAAUGUUGGUCCAGUAGAUCACCAUACAACCUUUUCCUAUGCUAGAGAGCUGGCUCUAAUGGACAAUAAGUCACACACUGCUCAUUUCUGUUAUCAUAUAUAUUGCAUGGAGAAAUGAUAAACUACAAUUGCCUGCCUUUAAGGAUGACUAUGAGCUAAGGAGAUAUUCAUUGAUACAUCUAUUAGCAUGUCAAGAGAAUGAGUGUAAAAGCAACAUACCUACUGCCGCACGAGAUAUCAUUAAUGGGAAACGUGCUUUGCUCAUGCAAGAUUACUAGUCAUCGGUAAAUAGAGUACCGGGGUGCAGCGAUUUUGGGCUUCCUCUACAGUAAACAAAACCAUGGUUAGUGCAUGUCAUCAGCAUAUGCUUAAGUGGUUGGAACAAGCAGGUGUGCUGCUGAUGGGGACAUGGAGUUAUAGUGAGAUUUGGAUGAAGUUUUGAGAGUAGAAUAUUCUUGGUGGUACACAGAGUCAACCAAUUCAAAAGAUUUGAUGAGUUACACACAUCGACAUCAAGGAAAUGCUGUGCAGUGCAGCGAGACGACUCAUUUGUACAAGCAGCAAAUGUCCCAUGUCCUGCGACAUCUUGGGUUCAGUAGAUUAUCUCACAGACUCACAGUGCAGGUACAGAUGACGUCGAUCACAGCAGAUGCCGCCAGGAAGAUGCAGCUGAGAAAGGCACACGCGAUGGAGGCAGCCGACAAGUCGCAGAAACGUGG
This is a long non-coding RNA of Oryza brachyantha (malo sina), 1953 nucleotides long. RefSeq lists it as uncharacterized. The transcript has 5 exons. The record is from RefSeq and is a predicted model, not a curated record. Lineage: Eukaryota; Viridiplantae; Streptophyta; Magnoliopsida; Poales; Poaceae.